AUACGGAGGGGGUUAGCGUUGUUCGGAAUUACGGGGCGUAAAGCGCACGUAGGCGGAUUGGAAAGUUGGGGGUGAAAUCCCAGGGCUCAACCCUGGAACUGCCUCCAAAACUAACAGUCUAGAGUUCGAGAGAGGUGAGUGGAAUUCCAAGUGUAGAGGUGAAAUUCGUAGAUAUUUGGAGGAACACCAGUGGCGAAGGCGGCUCACUGGCUCGAUACUGACGCUGAGGUGCGAAAGCGUGGGGAGCAAACAGGAUUAGAAACCCCUGUAGUCC
RNAcentral lists this ribosomal RNA (274 nucleotides) under uncultured bacterium. RNAcentral's name for it is "partial 16S ribosomal RNA". It matches the Rfam family "Bacterial small subunit ribosomal RNA", at positions 523 to 796 of the family's 1533-position model. The record is from RNAcentral.